AAGGGCACCACAAGAACGCGUGGAGCAUGUGGCUUAAUUUGACUCAACGCGGGAAAUCUUACCGGGUCCGGACACACUGAGGAUUGACAGGCAAUAUUAUUUGAGUAGUCUUUUGAUUGCUUUUAUAUGUAAAUAUGCUAGUCCUUUCAUGAUUAUGUGAUAGGUGGUGCAUGGCCGUUCUUAGUUCGUGGAGUGAUCUGUCUGCUUAAUUGCGUUUCACUAAGAGCUUAUUAAUUUAUGUACGUUUGCUGGUAUAUUUGACCCCCAAAUUUCUUUUCUAAAUUUUACUUGUCUUCGGACAUUUAAUUUUUUUUAAAGUGUUUGCGUGUGUUUGUCAUUUAUGCAUUAAGCAUCGUACAAUUAAGCUCUGAAAGCAACGAACGUGACCGCAUCCUCUUAUUGCCUCUACUACUUUAUCCUUUACAUUAACUUCGGUUUAUGUAGAAGAUAUAAAACAGAGGCUUUAAAAUUAGAGGGACCGCUGUAACUUCUUUAAACCAGAGGAAGGUUGCGGCAAUAACAGGUCUGUGAUGCCCUUAGAUGUUCCGGGCUGCACACGUGCUACAAUGAUUGUUGCAGUGAGCAUCUCAUUUAUAACACUAUUGUUAGCUAAAUUUAAAAUCGUUUGCUUGGUAAUCUGAUGCACUUCGGUGUGUUGGUGAGCUGGGUUUCGUUUUUUUAUUCAGUGAAACAAAAGUUAAGCCUGCUUCGAAAGUAAGUAGGUAAUCAAUCCGAAGUAACGAUUUCCCAAUUUAGCACACCUAUAUGCAGCGUUUAUACCCAGACUUAGUCUUGCACUAUGUUCUCGUGUGUAUAGAUGUUUUUAUUCUGCAUGUGCUUUUGUCAAUUCAUGGUGGGGACAGACCAUUGUUAAUUGUUGGUCUCGGUCUUAACUAGGAAUGCCUUGUACGGGUCUUUGGUUCAACAAACCACCCGGAAUACGUCCCUGCCCUUUGUACACACCGCCCGUCGCUCUUACCGAUGGACUUCUCUGUGAGUUUGAGGGACUGGAAAGUUAGUUUUUCUGACAUUCUAUAGAAACUUAAACGAACAGUGUGGUCUAAAGGAAAGAGAAGUCGAACAAGGCA
Molecule: ribosomal RNA, 1088 nt
Filed under: Allogromiid sp. ICEMON 8
Lineage: Eukaryota; Foraminifera
Description: bacterial SSU rRNA
Rfam family: Eukaryotic small subunit ribosomal RNA
Source: RNAcentral